RNAcentral lists this ribosomal RNA (266 nucleotides) under uncultured archaeon. RNAcentral describes it as "partial 16S ribosomal RNA". It matches the Rfam family "Archaeal small subunit ribosomal RNA", at positions 714 to 982 of the family's 1478-position model. The record is from RNAcentral.
AGGUCACUGACAUUAGAUACCCGGGUAGUCCAGGGUGUAAACGCUGCAGACUUGGUGUUGGAGGCCCUUUGGGGGCAUUCAGUGCCGGAGAGAAGUUGUUAAGUCUGCUACUUGGGGAGUACGUCCGCAAGGAUGAAACUUAAAGGAAUUGGCGGGGGAGCACCGCAACGGGAGGAGCGUGCGGUUUAAUUGGAUUCAACACCGUAAAACUCACCAGGGAAGACUGUUACAUGAAGGCCGAGAUGAAGACUCUGCUAGAUUUUCAG